Molecule: ribosomal RNA, 429 nt
Filed under: Acidobacteriota bacterium
Lineage: Bacteria; Pseudomonadati; Acidobacteriota
Description: Acidobacteria bacterium partial 16S ribosomal RNA
Rfam family: Bacterial small subunit ribosomal RNA
Source: RNAcentral
UGGGGAAUUUUGGACAAUGGGGGAAACCCUGAUCCAGCCAUCCCGCGUGUGCGAUGAAGGCCUUCGGGUUGUAAAGCACUUUUGGCAGGAAAGAAACGUCAUGGGUUAAUACCCCGUGAAACUGACGGUACCUGCAGAAUAAGCACCGGCUAACUACGUGCCAGCAGCCGCGGUAAUACGUAGGGUGUAAGCGUUAAUCGGAAUUACUGGGCGUAAAGCGUGCGCAGGCGGUUCGGAAAGAAAGAUGUGAAAUCCCAGAGCUCAACUUUGGAACUGCAUUUUUAACUACCGGGCUAGAGUGUGUCAGAGGGAGGUGGAAUUCCGCGUGUAGCAGUGAAAUGCGUAGAUAUGCGGAGGAACACCGAUGGCGAAGGCAGCCUCCUGGGAUAACACUGACGCUCAUGCACGAAAGCGUGGGGAGCAAACAGG